Molecule: long non-coding RNA, 421 nt
Filed under: Triticum aestivum (bread wheat)
Lineage: Eukaryota; Viridiplantae; Streptophyta; Magnoliopsida; Poales; Poaceae
Description: long non-coding RNA (TAES_LNC011079)
Source: RNAcentral
CUUGAUGCUGCCUUGUCUGUUUUGAUGUAUUGAGUUUUUCCCUUCAUCUAUUGCAGACCCAAAAAUAAGGAGCUGGCCUCGGUGGAUCUUCCACCGGGUAUAUCACAGCAUCAAGAGGCUUCACAGGGCACAGAUUCUGAUGAUGAAACCAUAGGAUCUCUGCUUAGGUGAGCUCAUUCAGCUUUACACAUUAAGAACUGAGUAUUGGAUGUUCAUGAUGCUAAUUAUUAAACAUCAUCAGUUUAUAUGCUAUGAGUUUCUUCCUUUGCACACAUUUGACUGGACCAGUUCCUUCUAUUUUUAAACAGCAUAGGAAAGAAAAGAAGGUUAUCUACAUCAGAUGUUACAGAGAACAGACAAGAACACCAAGAUUCUUCGAAGAACAUUGUUCCGGACAUGGAUACUAUCGGUUCAAAUGUCA